Long non-coding RNA from Physeter macrocephalus (sperm whale), 305 nucleotides. RefSeq lists it as uncharacterized. The record is from RefSeq and is a predicted model, not a curated record. The transcript has 3 exons. NCBI's taxonomy places the organism in Eukaryota, Metazoa, Chordata, Mammalia, Artiodactyla, Physeteridae.
GUUUUACAUUGUUUGUGAUGAUACGCUGCAGGAUUGAGCCUCAGUGUCCCAUGAUUACCAGUUUAUUAUAAAAGGAAACACCUCAGGAACAGCCAGAUGGAAGAGAUGCACAGGGCAGUCUUGAACACAGAUAUGGUAGGGACUCCACUUUGAGUGUUCAAAUAAGAACAACACGUUGGGCGUGGUAGAGCAAGAAGAUGGAAAAAACCUGGCCCCCGAAUGACCCUGUAGAGAAGAGCCAGCCAGCCAGCCAGACAGAACUACUCAUACCUGGACUAUUAUGUAAGAGAUAAGUAAACUUUUGU